This 252-nucleotide ribosomal RNA is filed under the name uncultured bacterium. Its description in RNAcentral is "partial 16S ribosomal RNA". It matches the Rfam family "Bacterial small subunit ribosomal RNA", at positions 524 to 776 of the family's 1533-position model. The record is from RNAcentral.
UACGGAGGGUGCAAGCGUUAUCCGGAUUCACUGGGUUUAAAGGGUGCGUAGGCGGGCGGGUAAGUCAGUGGUGAAAUCUCCAAGCUUAACUUGGAACUGCCGUUGAUACUAUCUGUCUUGAAUAUCGUGGAGGUGAGCGGAAUAUGUCAUGUAGCGGUGAAAUGCUUAGAGAUGACAUAGAACACCAAUUGCGAAGGCAGCUCACUACUCGAUCAUUGACGCUGAGGCACGAAAGCGUGGGGAUCAAACAGG